GGAAAUUUGAAUGUGUCUCUCUUUUUGGGAAAUAUAUCAUCUUUUUUCUUUUUGUAAUUACAUGUUGGGAGCAAUGCCCUUGAAACCCUCCAUUAUUGAUGUUAUGGUUAGAAUUAAGUAUGACUGGGUUCAUGGAAAAUCCCCAGCCAGCUGCAGAAGACUAAUACAAAUCUGGUGGUCAGGAUGAAUAAUGAUAUGAUAAAGUUCUGACCUUGCUGAGAAAUACAUCUGACAUCAAGAUACCCAAUGUGAUGACCUGUAAGCUUUCUGAAAAACCAACAUCCUGUUGACAUCAGCUGACUACAUGUAUACUGUGCCCUUGGCCUGUGUAAAUGUUUCACACUUCCCCCCUCCCUCUGUUACCCAUGUUAUGGUAUAAAUUCAGCCUUGGUAAAAAAUAAAAUUGUCUCCUUG
This 414-nucleotide long non-coding RNA is filed under the name Androctonus crassicauda. The record is from RNAcentral. Lineage: Eukaryota; Metazoa; Arthropoda; Arachnida; Scorpiones; Buthidae.